GCCAAGAAAAGUAUUGGUAGGUUAAUAAGUUAAUACUGGUGAAUCAAGUAGCCCAGAAAAGUAUUGGUAGGUUCAUAAGUUAAUACUGGUGAAUCAAGUAGCCCAGAAAAGUAUUGGUAGGUUCAUAAGUUAAUACUGGUGAAUCAAGUAGCCCAGAAAAGUAUUGGUAGGUUCAUAAGUUAAUACUGGUGAAUCAAGUAGCCCAGAAAAGUAUUGGUAGGUUCAUAAGUUAAUACUGGUGAAUCAAGUAGCCCAGAAAAGUAUUGGUAGGUUCAUAAGUUAAUACUGGUGAAUCAAGUAGCCCAGAAAAGUAUUGGUAGGUUCAUAAGUUAAUACUGGUGAAUCAAGUAGCCCAGAAAAGUAUUGGUAUGUUACCUGAUUGGCAUGAUAUGAAUAAAAUAAUGUUUAAAAUAGCAAACAACUUUCAUACAUAGUUUUUAUGAUAAGUUUUAGUGUACAUUUCAAAAUUACAAAUAUGAUUAUAUGUUAUUUCAGAGUAAA
Long non-coding RNA from Dreissena polymorpha, 501 nucleotides. RefSeq lists it as uncharacterized. The transcript is spliced from 3 exons. The record is from RefSeq and is a predicted model, not a curated record. Lineage: Eukaryota; Metazoa; Mollusca; Bivalvia; Myida; Dreissenidae.